GCCAGACUCCUACGGGAGGCAGCAGUGGGGAAUAUUGCACAAUGGGGGAAACCCUGAUGCAGCGACGCCCCGUGAGUGAAGAAGUGAUUCGUUAUGUAAAGCUCCAUCAGCAGGGAAGAAAAUGACGGUACCUGAGUAAGAAGCCCCGGCUAACUACGUGCCAGCAGCCGCGGUAAUACGUAGGGGGCAAGCGUUAUCCGGAUUUACUGGGUGUAAAGGGAGCGUAGACGGCAGUGCAAGUCUGGAGUGAAAGGCGGGGGCUCAACCCCGGGACUGCUCUGGAAACUGCGUCGCUGGAGUACGGGAGGGGCAGGCGGAAUUCCUGGUGCAGCGGUGAAAUGCGUAGAUAUCAGGAGGAACACCGGCGGCGAAGGCGGCCUGCUGGACCGUGACUGACGUUGAGGCUCGAGAGCGUGGGGAGCAAACAGGAUUAGAUACCCUCGUAA
This 446-nucleotide ribosomal RNA is filed under the name uncultured bacterium. RNAcentral's name for it is "bacterial SSU rRNA". It matches the Rfam family "Bacterial small subunit ribosomal RNA", at positions 330 to 793 of the family's 1533-position model. The record is from RNAcentral.